Molecule: ribosomal RNA, 433 nt
Filed under: uncultured bacterium
Lineage: Bacteria
Description: partial 16S ribosomal RNA
Rfam family: Bacterial small subunit ribosomal RNA
Source: RNAcentral
AACGAACGCUGGCGGCAUGCCUAACACAUGCAAGUCGAACGAGAACUUCGGGUCUAGUGGCGCACGGGUGCGUAACGCGUGGGAACCUGCCCUUAGGUUCGGAAUAACUCCCCGAAUGGGGUGCCAAUACCGGAUAAUGUCUUCGGACCAAAGAUUUAUCGCAUUUGGUUGGGCCGGCGUUGGAUUAGCUUGUUGGUAGGGUAAAAGCCUACCACGGCGACGAUCCAUAGCUGGUCUGAGAGGAUGAUCAGCCACACUGAGACUGGGACACGGCCCAGACUCCUACGGGAGGCAGCAGUGGGGAAUAGUGGACAAUCGGCUAAAGCCUGAUCCAGCAAUGCCGCGUGAGUGAUGUAGUCCUUAGGGUUGUAAAGCGCUUUUACCCGUGAUGAUAAUGACAGUACCGGGAGAAUAAGCUCCGGCUAACUCCGUG